This 74-nucleotide transfer RNA is filed under the name Lachnospira multipara. It matches the Rfam family "tRNA". From Rfam's summary of the family: Transfer RNA (tRNA) molecules are approximately 80 nucleotides in length. Their secondary structure includes four short double-helical elements and three loops (D, anti-codon, and T loops). Further hydrogen bonds mediate the characteristic L-shaped molecular structure. tRNAs have two regions of fundamental functional importance: the anti-codon, which is responsible for specific mRNA codon recognition, and the 3' end, to which the tRNAs corresponding amino acid is attached (by aminoacyl-tRNA synthetases). tRNAs cope with the degeneracy of the genetic code in two manners: having more than one tRNA (with a specific anti-codon) for a particular amino acid; and 'wobble' base-pairing, i.e. permitting non-standard base-pairing at the 3rd anti-codon position. Lineage: Bacteria; Bacillati; Bacillota; Clostridia; Lachnospirales; Lachnospiraceae. RNAcentral also lists the same sequence under 2 other names. The record is from Rfam by way of RNAcentral.
GUGUCCGUAGCUCAGUUGGAUAGAGCAACGGCCUUCUAAGCCGUGGGUCGAGGGUUCGAAUCCCCCCGGGCACA